This 149-nucleotide non-coding RNA is filed under the name Enterococcus canis. RNAcentral's name for it is "GlcN6P sequence". It matches the Rfam family "glmS glucosamine-6-phosphate activated ribozyme aptamer". From Rfam's summary of the family: This entry contains a glucosamine-6-phosphate activated ribozyme that is found in the mRNA for GlmS. Lineage: Bacteria; Bacillati; Bacillota; Bacilli; Lactobacillales; Enterococcaceae. The record is from Rfam by way of RNAcentral.
AUAAUCGGAAUAGCGCCAGGCCUCAUGACUGAGGUGACGAGGAGAGAGCUUAUCGAAAGAUUCGGCGGGUGGCUCUAGGGACUGCACUCUACAGGUCAAAAGAAAAAAUUCAUUGUAAAAUGAUAACAAACUUUUGGCUACGCAGACAG